Long non-coding RNA from Lates calcarifer (barramundi perch), 359 nucleotides. RefSeq lists it as uncharacterized. The record is from RefSeq and is a predicted model, not a curated record. NCBI's taxonomy places the organism in Eukaryota, Metazoa, Chordata, Actinopteri, Centropomidae. The transcript has 2 exons.
ACAGGAUGUUUUUUUUUCUCCAGAGGACUCAAACCAGGAAACACUUCAGUCCCUAAAGAAGAGACAGACAUUAAGACUUACAGAAGGUCCUGAACUUCAGCUGCUGUUGUCUACUUCUGCAAGGACAGAACAACAUCACAAUAACUGAUCAAUGACUCUCAUCAUCCCAUUCUAAACUAUUCUUGUCCCUUUUUUUUGAAGAACAUAAAUCAGCUCUGAAUCUAUCAGUCAUUAUCACGUAUUUUAUUUUGUCACAAAACGAACAUGUCCAUGUCUGCAGCUUUAUAUCAGCAAGCUGUUUAUUUUCUUGAUGCCUAUGACAUUUUUUCACUUUUUUGAUACCUUACUAUACUGUGACA